UGAGCCGGACGGAUGAUCGCGGCUGCUUCUGGCAGACGAGGAAAGUCCGGGCUUCACAGGGCAGGAUGCCGGAUAACGUCCGGUGGAGGCGACUCCCAGACCAGUGCAACAGAAAUAAACCGCCGCUUAUGCGGUAAGGGUGGAAAGGCAGUGUAAGAGACUACCGCCCGUGUGGUAACAUGCGGGGCACAUGUAAACUCCAUUCGAAGCAAGACCAAACAGGAAACGAUGCAGUGGCCCGCUGGGUUUCCAGGUAGGUCGCUCGAGCCUGUCGGUAACGGCAGGCCUAGAUAGAUGAUCAUCCAAGACAGAACCCGGCUUACAGUCCGGCUCAUCCG
This 338-nucleotide RNase P RNA is filed under the name Lachnospiraceae bacterium. Its description in RNAcentral is "RNase P RNA component class A". It matches the Rfam family "Bacterial RNase P class A". Rfam says of the family: Ribonuclease P (RNase P) is a ubiquitous endoribonuclease, found in archaea, bacteria and eukarya as well as chloroplasts and mitochondria. Its best characterised activity is the generation of mature 5'-ends of tRNAs by cleaving the 5'-leader elements of precursor-tRNAs. Cellular RNase Ps are ribonucleoproteins. Lineage: Bacteria; Bacillati; Bacillota; Clostridia; Lachnospirales; Lachnospiraceae. The record is from RNAcentral.